UCUAUGUUGCUGUUCAUGGUAAGUAAGGAAAAUUAUAACGAACACGAUCAAGUACAAUAAGAAAUGUGUACGGUGGUACGGUGGAUGAUCGACUUGCUAUGGUAAAACGGCGUGUUUGCCACGACCCUCAUCUUAGUUCUUUGAAAUAGAAAUCUCUCUUCCUAAUCGCUCCUUCAUACCUGAGAAUCUAUGUUGCGCUCCUUAAUACAUCUCGGUUUGAUCACAAAUGAUCUGAACAGAAGAACUAUAUUUAAAAGCCCUCCUAAUUUUGUUACUCCAGCGCACUGCUUUUUUUUCCUCUACCUUGCCGCCCUUUAUUUGGGUAUGUACGUCAGCACUCAGCAUCCAAAGUACUGGAACAGAGUAUGCGUCAUAAGUAUAUACCAUUCUCUAACAGCUUAACAAAAAGAGAUAUGUCUGUAUAUGUAGAACAAUUAGAUUGUACAUACUGACGGAUAAUUUUGAACGCGAACUGUGUUUAGAAAAGUAUUCCAGGGUUGCAUAUACUUUUAGAGCGUUGUUUCAUACGCUACGAUUGAUGCUGACUGUACCUACCCAAAUAUUUUCUUCUUCUUCCUGGCUGUAUAUGUCCCAUAUCUUAUGGGAUUAGCCCUCCUUGUACUUUUACGCCACACUGUACGUUUUUGUGUUGUAUCCGUAUCUACCCACACCAAUCUCAGGUCCUUUUUAAUGGCCUGACCAAGUCGCGGGAGGUCGGCCUGAAACACUAUCCCUCUUAGAUAGUCAUUACACUUCUCAUCAUGUAUUCUUCGCUCCUUCUCAUGACAUGCCCAUACCAUCUCACCUACCCAAAUAUAUUUUUAGUAUAAAAACUACUCCAAAUGUAUGGUUUUACAGGUAUCAUUGAACUGACAACUGGAAGACAACUCUACAUAUACCAGGGCUACGCUUUCAAGAAGAUGAACUUUUUGACUAAAAUCAAGGUUACAAAAUGGAUCUGCACUAGAAACAGAUUAAUCGAGCUAGUAAAUGGAAAGGUUAUAUACUUGUACUGCAACUACGGGUUCUACAAAAAAAGCGAUUUAAGCACAGGCGGCACUCGUUGGACAUGUACUUGCAGUAAGAAAUGCGGUUCAUACUUGCACCUUGAUAAGCAUUAUAACGUCACGUUCGUCAAAGGUGACCACAACCACCCGCCGUCGCAGUACCAUAUGACGAAAAAUGGAAAAUAUCUAAAAAUAUGAUAAUUCUAUAUCUAUUCUUAUAUUUUAAAAUGUGAAGUAUCUCAAAUUCGAUGUUAGACGCAGUGCAUUUGUGUAUCUCGACCAUUCCCAAACUAUGGGUCGCGAGCGAAAUGUUUGUGGGCUCUGAAACUUAAGACGACACGACAUGACCACAACAAAAUGCAGUUAACAAAAUUUUGGCUCUCAGUCGCUGGCAACUAUCCUUGCCUGUUUGAUGAAGCUAUAAAAGUACUACUUUCCUUCAGUACAUCAUAUCUAUGUAAGGCCGGAUUUUCCGCAGUGAUUAUGUUAUGUGGGUCCCGAAUUUGGCAGUUUUUGUUAGUUGGGUCAGACCCCAGUCAACUUUGGGAACCACUGGUAUAUCUUAUUUAUAAUGAAUGUAUGAAGGACAUGAAUGUGAUGUCAGGCAUCUGUUAAAAAUGGAUGAAUAUUUAAAAUUAUACACUUUAUUUUAA
Cydia pomonella (codling moth) is the source of this 1660-nucleotide long non-coding RNA. RefSeq lists it as uncharacterized. Lineage: Eukaryota; Metazoa; Arthropoda; Insecta; Lepidoptera; Tortricidae. The transcript is spliced from 2 exons. The record is from RefSeq and is a predicted model, not a curated record.